Molecule: unclassified non-coding RNA, 380 nt
Filed under: uncultured fungus
Lineage: Eukaryota; Fungi
Description: sequence contains ITS1
Source: RNAcentral
GCAUCACGGAUGACGAGACGGGCGAGCAGCUCACGGGCGAGCUCGACAUCUUCGGCAACCCGUGGGACCCGUACACCUACUCGACGAACAGCCUGAGCGGCAAGAGCUGGUCCGGCGGCUACUACAACGGCGUCGAGUACACCGGCGGCGACUGGAGCGGCAAGUCGUGGUCCGGCAAGAGCUGGUCCGGGAAGUCCUGGAGCGGCAAGAGCUGGAGCGGCAAGAGCUGGUCCGGAGCCGUGUACCUCGGGAAGUCGUGGUCCGGGAAGAGCUGGAGCGGCAAGUCGUGGUCCGGCAAGAGCUGGAGCGGGAAGUCCUGGUCCGGCAAGAGCUGGAGCGGCAAGUCGUGGUCCGGCAAGAGCUGGUCCAGCUUCUCGUAC